AGAGUUUGAUCAUGGCUCAGAAUGAACGCUAGCGGCGUGCUUAACACAUGCAAGUCGUACGAGAACUCUUUAGCUUGCUAAAGAUAGUAAAGUGGCGCACGGGUGAGUAACGCGUGGGUAAUCUACCUCUGAAUUUGGGAUAACUCCGCGAAAGCGGGGCUAAUACCGGAUAAUAUUUCAGGAUCUUCGGGUCUUGAAAUCAAAAGCGGCCUCUACAUGUAAGCCACUGUUUGGAGAUGAGUCUCGCGCACCAUUAGCUUGUUGGUAGGGCUAAUGGCCUACCUAGGCUCACGAUGGUUAGCUGGUCUGAAAGGCACGAUCCCUCACACUGGAACUGACUCUUGGUCCUGACUCUCUUCGGUGAGGCAGC
Molecule: ribosomal RNA, 370 nt
Filed under: uncultured bacterium
Lineage: Bacteria
Description: bacterial SSU rRNA
Rfam family: Bacterial small subunit ribosomal RNA
Source: RNAcentral